RNAcentral lists this ribosomal RNA (404 nucleotides) under uncultured Enterobacterales bacterium. RNAcentral's name for it is "bacterial SSU rRNA". It matches the Rfam family "Bacterial small subunit ribosomal RNA", at positions 91 to 488 of the family's 1533-position model. Lineage: Bacteria; Pseudomonadati; Pseudomonadota; Gammaproteobacteria; Enterobacterales. The record is from RNAcentral.
ACGAGUGGCGGACGGGUGAAGUAAUGUCUGGGAAACUGCCCGAUGGAGGGGGGAUAACUACUGGAAACGGUAGCUAAUACCGCAUAACGUCGCAAGACCAAAGAGGGGGACCUUCGGGCCUCUUGCCAUCGGAUGUGCCCAGAUGGGAUUAGCUAGUAGGUGGGGUAACGGCUCACCUAGGCGACGAUCCCUAGCUGGUCUGAGAGGAUGACCAGCCACACUGGAACUGAGACACGGUCCAGACUCCUACGGGAGGCAGCAGUGGGGAAUAUUGCACAAUGGGCGCAAGCCUGAUGCAGCCAUGCCGCGUGUAUGAAGAAGGCCUUCGGGUUGUAAAGUACUUUCAGCGAACGAGGAAGGCGUUGUGGUAAUUAACCGGAGCGAUUGGAAUUACUCGCAGAAGA